This is a long non-coding RNA of Lytechinus pictus (painted urchin), 279 nucleotides long. RefSeq lists it as uncharacterized. NCBI's taxonomy places the organism in Eukaryota, Metazoa, Echinodermata, Echinoidea, Temnopleuroida, Toxopneustidae. The record is from RefSeq and is a predicted model, not a curated record. The transcript has 3 exons.
AAUACCCAGAUUAAGGAUUUCUUGUUUUUACGAAGUGACGGAUAAGCAGCCGUCAAUUCGUGAAAAUAAACGAAUACGCUUUAUCACUCAAGAGUUUUUUCACGAAGUGACGGAAGGCAAAUUUUUACAGUUUGGAACAGCCGAAGACCAUGAAAUGAUGCAGUAUAUACAGUAAGCAAUGUUUCAGAGAACAAAUGAGAGAAGUCCUGGAACCAGUACACUCGCUAUUUAACAAUACAAUUCCAGGUUGGAUCCAGGAGCCAACAUGCUUGUCAGAUG